GCUUCCCCAACCAAGUAAAUAGUCAACUGUUUGUUUGUUUUUCCUAAUCAAAAAUUUUCUUUUCUCAAAUCUACAAAAUCAACAUAUUUUGAUAAAAAUAACAAAAGAAAAGACUUUAGCAGAAACAAUUGUAGUUGGUCCUUUGAUCUUAAAAAAUGUACAUAAUUUUGCAGCGUAAAUCAAGAACAUAUUUCAAGUUUUUCAACCAAAGAUUGAAGCUAUUUUAUUUGGUUUUUCAGGAGGGGGAAAAGAAUGUACAUGUCUCUCCCACGUACGUGUGACACCGAUAUUACGAUAAAGCCGACGUAGAAAAAUCUCGAGUGAGAGUUCCGGUCAAGUAAGGAAGGGUAAUUUAGGAAAUUGAAGAAGGAGUGUGUCUCUAGUCAUAUCUUGUCGCCGUUUUACCCAACUCCGUGACUUUCUUCCCUCACUGUCAGACAAAACCUUAACCAUGGUUAACAUAACCUGAACCUCUCC
Long non-coding RNA from Arabidopsis thaliana (thale cress), 477 nucleotides. RefSeq annotates it as other RNA. NCBI's taxonomy places the organism in Eukaryota, Viridiplantae, Streptophyta, Magnoliopsida, Brassicales, Brassicaceae. The transcript has a single exon. The record is from RefSeq.